GCCCAGAUAGCUCAGUUGGGAGAGCGCCAGACUGAAGAUCUGGAGUCCUCAGUUCGAUCCUGGUUCUGGGCA
This 72-nucleotide transfer RNA is filed under the name Perkinsus olseni. RNAcentral describes it as "tRNA-Phe". It matches the Rfam family "tRNA". From Rfam's summary of the family: Transfer RNA (tRNA) molecules are approximately 80 nucleotides in length. Their secondary structure includes four short double-helical elements and three loops (D, anti-codon, and T loops). The record is from RNAcentral. Lineage: Eukaryota; Perkinsozoa; Perkinsida; Perkinsidae.